This 497-nucleotide ribosomal RNA is filed under the name uncultured bacterium. Its description in RNAcentral is "partial 16S ribosomal RNA". It matches the Rfam family "Bacterial small subunit ribosomal RNA", at positions 28 to 507 of the family's 1533-position model. The record is from RNAcentral.
GAUGAACGCUGGCGGCGUGCCUAAUACAUGCAAGUCGAGCGAACGGACGAGAAGCUUGCUUCUCUGAUGUUAGCGGCGGACGGGUGAGUAACACGUGGAUAACCUACCUAUAAGACUGGGAUAACUUCGGGAAACCGGAGCUAAUACCGGAUAAUAUUUUGAACCGCAUGGUUCAAAAGUGAGAGACGGUCUUGCUGUCACUUAUAGAUGGAUCCGCGCUGCAUUAGCUAGUUGGUAAGGUAACGGCUUACCAAGGCAACGAUGCAUAGCCGACCUGAGAGGGUGAUCGGCCACACUGGAACUGAGACACGGUCCAGACUCCUACGGGAGGCAGCAGUAGGGAAUCUUCCGCAACGGGCGAAAGCCUGACGGAGCAACGCCGCGUGAGUGAUGAAGGUCUUCGGAUCGUAAAACUCUGUUAUUAGGGAAGAACAUAUGUGUAAGUAACUGUGCACAUCUUGACGGUACCUAAUCAGAAAGCCACGGCUAACUACGUG